This 465-nucleotide ribosomal RNA is filed under the name Vreelandella stevensii. RNAcentral describes it as "partial 16S ribosomal RNA". It matches the Rfam family "Bacterial small subunit ribosomal RNA", at positions 338 to 795 of the family's 1533-position model. The record is from RNAcentral. Lineage: Bacteria; Pseudomonadati; Pseudomonadota; Gammaproteobacteria; Oceanospirillales; Halomonadaceae.
CCUACGGGAGGCUGCAGUGGGGAAUAUUGGACAAUGGGCGAAAGCCUGAUCCAGCCAUGCCGCGUGUGUGAAGAAGGCCUUCGGGUUGUAAAGCACUUUCAGUGGGGAAGAAAGCCUUGGGGCUAAUACCCUCGAGGAAGGACAUCACCCACAGAAGAAGCACCGGCUAACUCCGUGCCAGCAGCCGCGGUAAUACGGAGGGUGCGAGCGUUAAUCGGAAUUACUGGGCGUAAAGCGCGCGUAGGCGGUCUGAUAAGCCGGUUGUGAAAGCCCCGGGCUCAACCUGGGAACGGCAUCCGGAACUGUCAGGCUAGAGUGCAGGAGAGGAAGGUAGAAUUCCCGGUGUAGCAGUGAAAUGCGUAGAGAUCGGGAGGAAUACCAGUGGCGAAGGCGGCCUUCUGGACUGACACUGACGCUGAGGUGCGAAAGCGUGGGUAGCGAACAGGAUUAGAUACCCCUGUAGUC